Odocoileus virginianus texanus is the source of this 594-nucleotide long non-coding RNA. RefSeq lists it as uncharacterized. Lineage: Eukaryota; Metazoa; Chordata; Mammalia; Artiodactyla; Cervidae. The record is from RefSeq and is a predicted model, not a curated record.
CUGGAGAGAAUGAAACAGCAGGUGCAUUCUGGCAUCCUAAUAAAAGCAGGUGCAUUUUAUCCCAAUAAAACUCCUCCAAAGAAAUUGCCAUUUCCCCUCUGCUCCCUCGCCAGGAUCUGGUUUCAGACCUAACUCUGCGCCCUCAGCAACAUCGCCUGGUUCAGUGCUUGUCCCCCAGAGAUAUGAAGAAGGAGAUGAGUCUCCUAUAUUUAUUAAGACUUACUUAUAAAGGCAUCAGAGAGCUCUUGAGAACAUUCCAAGGUCACCAAAUGCUUUCUCAAAAUGCCUUUACCCAGAGAAUAUUUAAAGAAGAGCUUCCUGCCUAGUGGGAGAGAGCUGUGAAAAACCGUGAAUGCUCCAACUGGCCACCUUUCCAGAAUAGACUUUUCCUCUGGAACCAAGACCAGCAAAAAUCACUGCUACGCACAUCACUGAGAUCCAAACUAGGUAUAAGGACUAACCUUACAAACUGUGCAGCACAGGUGCAACAUUCCACGUGUGCCAAAGGAGAGCCCCUUUCUAUGUGAAAGUGUUCUGUAUGCCACUCCCUGAAGGUGAGUGGUGAAGUAACGCUAAGGAACUUGGACAAAUAAU